UGGGAUCGGGGGCUCACUCCCAACCCAAUGUGAACCAUACCAAACUGUUGCCUCGGCGGGGUCACGCCCCGGGUGCGUCGCAGCCCCGGAACCAGGCGCCCGCCGGAGGGACCAACCAAACUCUUUUCUGUAGUCCCCUCGCGGACGUUAUUUCUUACAGCUCUGAGCAAAAAUUCAAAAUGAAUCAAAACUUUCAACAACGGAUCUCUUGGUUCUGGCAUCGAUGAAGAACGCAGCGAAAUGCGAUAAGUAAUGUGAAUUGCAGAAUUCAGUGAAUCAUCGAAUCUUUGAACGCACAUUGCGCCCGCCAGUAUUCUGGCGGGCAUGCCUGUCCGAGCGUCAUUUCAACCCUCGAACCCCUCCGGGGGGUCGGCGUUGGGGACCUCGGGAGCCCCUAAGACGGGAUCCCGGCCCCGAAAUACAGUGGCGGUCUCGCCGCAGCCUCUCCUGCGCAGUAGUUUGCACAACUCGCACCGGGAGCGCGGCGCGUCCACGUCCGUAAAACACCCAACUUCUGAAAUGUUGACCUCGGAUCAGGUAGGAAUACCCGCUGAACUUAAGCAUAUCAAUAAGGCGGAGGAA
This 582-nucleotide ribosomal RNA is filed under the name Trichoderma viride. RNAcentral describes it as "eukaryotic LSU rRNA". The stretch from base 189 to 342 matches the Rfam family "5.8S ribosomal RNA". The record is from RNAcentral. Lineage: Eukaryota; Fungi; Ascomycota; Sordariomycetes; Hypocreales; Hypocreaceae.